RNAcentral lists this long non-coding RNA (578 nucleotides) under Dicentrarchus labrax (European seabass). RNAcentral's name for it is "lncRNA (ENSDLAG00005027385.1)". Lineage: Eukaryota; Metazoa; Chordata; Actinopteri; Moronidae. The record is from RNAcentral.
GACAAUUCUGGAGAAAAAAAAUGGGAUGUACAUAUCAUUUUAAAUUGAAAUUAUUUGUUUUAACUAUGCAAGUUAAUAAACACACUUUUGCUGAAAUUUGUUUUGCUGCUGCUGCUGUUGUUGUUAACUGCCAUGAUUGAUUUCCUCUGCCUUAGGAUUGCAAGUGUCCAGGGACAGGUCAGGGCACUGGUGGGACACCCACUGCUGCCACUUGGCCCUGGUUUGUCCUCAUGGAUGAGGUAUUAGGACAGCGGCAUUCCACCAACCCAACUGUCCUAAUUGCCACCAUCCAUGAGGACACACCAGGGCCAAGUACAGCAGUGGGUGACCAGGAGGUGGAGGAGCAGGAUAAGGACGAGGAGGAGGAGGAGGAGGAGGAGGAGGAGGAGGAAAGACAGCCAUGGCCAAAAGGGCCAAAUAGAAAGAGGGGCAGAGAUGAUGAGCUGCUGGACCUCAUAAAGGCGGAUAUGAGGAUGCAGAGGAAGGCAGAGGAGAGGAGAGCCCAGGAGACCAGGGAGAGGAUGGAGAGGCUGUUCUCUCUGCUAGAGAGACUGAAAACCAAGAGGAAGAAAGGAUAA